AGAUUGAACGCUGGCGGCAUGCUUUACACAUGCAAGUCGAACGGUAACAGGCCGCAAGGUGCUGACGAGUGGCGAACGGGUGAGUAAUGCAUCGGAACGUGCCCAGUCGUGGGGGAUAACGCAGCGAAAGCUGUGCUAAUACCGCAUACGAUCUAUGGAUGAAAGCGGGGGACCGAAAGGCCUCGCGCGAUUGGAGCGGCCGAUGUCAGAUUAGCUAGUUGGGUGGGGUAAAGGCCCACCGAAGGCGACGAUCUGUAGCUGGUCUGAGACGGACGACCAGCCACACUGGAACUGAGACGACGGUCCAGACUCCGUACGGGAGGCAGCGAGGUAGGGGUAAUUUUGGAACUAAGU
RNAcentral lists this ribosomal RNA (354 nucleotides) under uncultured soil bacterium. RNAcentral's name for it is "bacterial SSU rRNA". It matches the Rfam family "Bacterial small subunit ribosomal RNA", at positions 26 to 376 of the family's 1533-position model. The record is from RNAcentral.